UUUUUAAAUUUUAAACAAAUUAAAAAAAUUGAUUACAUCAAAGAACUUUCCAAAUAUAUGUUUAUCAAAUAGUAUUUUCCCAAUGUUACUUCUCAAGUCAUUUUAAAUUGCAAAUUACCAAACAGUCUUUGCAUUUCACAUAACUCCUUUAGGCUAAGGGCCUUUACAUUAGCCAAAGGCUUUCCCCAAAAGUCAAAGCAAACGCACCCAUAAAUGGGUACUUGAAAUUGAGCUUUAUGCAGACCUUUUGCUUGAUUGUUGUUGCCCUGCUAUGUGACCCACCAUUUCGUGUAAAUCAGCGAUAUAGUCGUCGUCAUCAUGGCUGAAGCGCUCUUGGAGAUCCGGCCUCAUGAAGUCAAGUUUAUCUGUGAGUGUAUAUAGUGCUGUGCGUUUGGUUCAUUUUUAUUUUGGAGCUACAUUCAAUUUGCGUUGCUUGCCUCCUGUUUUACUAGGCAAUUAGUGAAGGGGAUGAUAUUUCUUUGUUCUACAAUAAUUUGCUUGAGAAUUUGUGGUUCAACAUCGUAAAUAAUGGUAAAAGAAAUAUCUUAAAUAAGAGCUUCAAUGGCGAGUAUGAAUCGGUUAUUAAUCGCCCUGUUUUUCAAAUUCUUUUCCUUGUGUUGUUUUCAAAUUUUUGGUUAGGUUCUUUCUUUUUGCAUAGUUUCUAUCCUCGCACCACAAACUCUUAGAGUGCCUUGUGAGGUGAAUUUCUUUCUGGAGAUAAAGUAAGUGAGUGUUGUAACCAAAUGACUGAGAAUGAUCGGUAGAGAAAACCAACACGCAAAAUGAGAUUUCGUUGCUGCAUUAUGUCUUCAAAGAAAAUGUAUGAUGGUCCAUUUCAUCACAUCCUACUCUAAUGUCGUGCCCCGUUAAGUUCUUUUAUCUGAAGCCUCUUCUCCAUGUUUAUGCAGUUGAGUUGAGUAAACAAAGCUCAUGCUUGAUUCCGCUACGCAACAAGACUGAUUGGUAUGUUGCUUUCAAGGUGAGGAUUUUUUGCACCUUUUCAUUCACCAUGAUCGUGCUUUACUUUUUUUUCAGGUAUGGUAGGCGAACAAUUUUCUUUCAAUUAUGUAUUCUCUUGAUGUAGUUUAACUUUCAGAGUAGGACAUCAAUGCAUUAAAAGCUCUCUACUAUGGAGAAACAUUAUGAGCUUUAUACUGGAUAUCCAAAACAUUCCAGGUUAAGUCUACAUCUUUGAAGAAAUACUGUGCACGACCAAAUGUAGGCAUCAUCAAGCCAAAUGGAGCAUCUGAUUCAAAAUUGUGCUGCUCAAGUCCAAGGAACAUCAUGUUCACAUACUUAUUAAAGCCACUAACAUACUUGUGAGGAGGGACACGCCUACAGUACCUAAAUUAGCUAAAUAAUUCUUUUGCAAUUUCUUUGCCAUGACAUGUCAAUUGGACUUUAUUAUUGUUGGGUUACAAACUACUUAAGGUAGAGUCAGUCUAAUUGCAGCAAGGAUCAUCUUUGAAUAAGAUUUUGAAUGCCUACCAUAGUAGCCUAAUAUACAUCGAGAUAAAGGAAAACCACGACAAGCCUCAGAAGCUAUGUCCCGAUACUUCAAAAGAAUUGGAGUAGGCCUUUCAUCCUAUCUUCUGUUUGAUGUAGUUACCAUGUAAGCACGACAGGUAGCUCCAACUAUCCUGUAGUGCAAAGAUAAGUUUUUGAUACAGGUGAAGAGGACUACUGACAUGGUAGGUUUUGCUGCUAUAUGCUCCAUAAUCUUCCAGGUCAAGUAACUCGAGAAAUUUUCUUUUAAAUUUUCAAAUUGAUAAAGAAAGUGGUAAAUACAUAGAUGAGAGGAAGAUAAAAGCAGUUCUAACCAGUCCAGUGGAAUCACUAUCAGUGCUGCCAGAUUAUGGAGACCGGAAGCAAGAUUCAUCUUCCAGACUACCAUCCCAAAGGAUAUCUCACCUGUUGGAGUCGAAAAUGCGUCACCUUUUCUCAAGAAGGAUUGUCUUUUGAUGCCAGGAUCCUGAAGGGUUGGACGUGUCAGAGGUUUUAAGGAGUUAAAAUCAACACUCAACGAGGUGAUACAAAGUUGAAAGAGGUUAGUUUUCUUCCCUUGGUUGAUUUGAAUUCAGGUCUACUUUCACCAGUCAAAUCACUGGGAGGACGGUUUCCCUUCCACUACACAAGCCACCCUUGAUUGCCCAUUUUAUACAGAUGAGGACAGGAGACAGAAGAGGGGAAGAAUUAUUAAAAGGAAGAAAAGAAAACUUAUAAAAGGCAUAGGUGUUGAGUUGGGAGAAUUGCAAAUUCAGUCAUAAAUUUAUUUGUAUGAAUAAUCAAAUAAUGGAAAACAUGUUUGCUCUCUCAUAUUCUUGGUUCACUGCUACUACUGACACAUUGGUUCUUAUGAAUAUCUGGUGCUGCAUGUAUUGAAGAUUACAUUUUUGUUUACUGAGUAAAAUGGCACGAAAUUGUUAUUGCCAAGUCAGAGUCACCCUACUAUCACCAGGGACUACUCGAGUUUGGUACUGCUGCUGCUACUGCUAUGUUAGUGUUGUGUCUUGGAGAGGUGGUUAGAGAUAAUUUAGGCUUGCUGACUUGGGGUCUUUCUUGUGAUUUCUCUCGGGUUGUCCGAGUCAUGGCAUAUCCCUUAGCUGAUAUUAUUGUGGUAUCUUUCGUUGUGAACUUGCACUGGAGUUUGAUUUUCUCAUUGUUGGGAUCCGUCAAAAGGAAGAUUCUGUCCUGUAAGAUACUUCCUCGAAGAUUAAGAUUUCACUGCCUUAAAUUAGUUUUUUUGUGUUACAAAACUCUUGAAAUAGUAUAUUUGUAUUAUAUUUACCUCCAAAUUAAUUUUUGUGUAACUAGCCUAACGUGACUCAUGAGAUUAUCUAUUUGGCCCUGUCCCCAACCAUGGGAAGAAAAAUACAGGAAUUUUGGAGAAAAAGAUGGGGUUUUUUUGAGCGAAACAUGUUAGCCAAUCUACAUAAGUUACAGUAGACCAAAAAAUUAGAGACUCUCCGAGAAGUUAUCAAAUGCGCCGUCGUUGCGGUGCUAGUUGGAGAUUAUCUCUUCAGAUCGGGCUGCCCUCGGGGGGAGAAGAGGCCGAUGGGCGAUCUUAAGAUUCUGUUUUCAUUCUUGCAUACAGUGAAAUCACUGCUGAAGGAUGAAAGGUAACAAAACUCGAUCAGAUUUUGCUUAACGGAAACAACAUAGCUAUUGUAAGAAACAACUUCUUCCUUCUGCUGGUAAUUAUAUUGCUAUAUGUUUGAGCCCUUGCCUUGAUAAGGGCAUGGUCUUGCCUAAAGUUUUGGUGAUCUAUCAACUAGUAAGCAAUUGCCUUAACCAAACAGAAACAAUCAGCCGCUCUGAGAGAUUCCUUCUGAUAAGACUCAAAAUGCUUAGACAAUGUAUUGAUGAAUCAUUACUGGUCUUGAUUUUGUGAUAAAAAGGUCAUCAUCGCCUAUUCUUUACAAUCUGGUCCUUUGUCUCAAUCAACCUUGUGUCCACCUCUUGAUAAAUAUAAAGCACAAGUGGUGUGGCAAUUAUGUUACCGAAAAGCUAGAAUUCUGCUUUCCAGUGCUUGAACCACUUAAGUGACGAUGCCUUGCUUUUUGUCUUAAUGCAGUUAGCUGGUGUCUCCCCUGAUCCAGAAUGAGUUGGGUUCAUCCUCUAACCCCAGUGGUUGAUUAUGUAGUUACUUUUAGUUGUUGGAAGCCCCAUCAGCAACAUCAUUUGAUUUUAUAACCCUCUUUUUAUGGGUUUAUGAAUCUGCAACCUUAGUCAAUUGAGCUCUUAUUUGAUUGAGCUCAUGUGUGAAUGUCUGAUGCAAUUAGCUCAACAGAUGGUGCAUGAUCACAUCAUCCUAUUAUCCAAUAUCUAUGUUUUGCUCAACUAGAGGGUGUGACAGUUGUUGUCAUGCUUGGUGCAUAUUGUUCCUAGGUUUCAUCUUCCAGUGCAUUGUUAUUGAAGAACCUAUCUUGGCUUGUUUUAGUGUUCUACAGUUUUUGGCCGUUGACUGCAUAAUAAUA
This is a long non-coding RNA of Eucalyptus grandis, 3977 nucleotides long. RefSeq lists it as uncharacterized. The record is from RefSeq and is a predicted model, not a curated record. Lineage: Eukaryota; Viridiplantae; Streptophyta; Magnoliopsida; Myrtales; Myrtaceae. The transcript is spliced from 2 exons.